GGGGGUGCUAACCUGGGAAGAACUGGUGUUAUCACCGACAGAAAGAGGCACCCUGGAUGUUUUGACGUGGUUCACGUGAAAGAUGCCAACAGCAACAGCUUUGCCACCCAGCUUUCCAACCUUUUUGUUAUUGGCAAGGGCAGCAAACCAUGGAUUUCUCUUCCCCGAGGAAAGGGUGUCCGCCAUUCAACCCAUUGCUAAAGGGAGAGACGAGACUGUGGCCAGAGCAGUGGGUGA
Molecule: long non-coding RNA, 237 nt
Filed under: Homo sapiens (human)
Lineage: Eukaryota; Metazoa; Chordata; Mammalia; Primates; Hominidae
Description: non-protein coding lnc-LSM14A-3:1
Source: RNAcentral